Molecule: ribosomal RNA, 1148 nt
Filed under: uncultured marine eukaryote
Lineage: Eukaryota
Description: bacterial SSU rRNA
Rfam family: Eukaryotic small subunit ribosomal RNA
Source: RNAcentral
AACCUGGUUGAUCCUGCCAGUAGUCAUAUGCUUGUCUCAAAGAUUAAGCCAUGCAUGUCUAAGUUUAAACGACUUUAAACGUGAAACUGCGAAAGGCUCAUUAAAUCAGUUAUAGUUUAUUUGAUAGUCCCUACUACAUGGAUAACCGUGGUAAUUCUAGAGCUAAUACAUGCGACAAGGCCCGACUUCGGAAGGGUUGUAUUUAUUAGAUACAAAAGCCAAUAUUUUUGGUGAAUCAGAAUAACUAAACUGACCCCAUGGCAUAUGCUGGGGGUGAAUCAUUCAAAUUUCUGCCCUAUCAACUUUCGAUGGUAAGGUAUUGGCUUACCAUGGUGACAACGGGUAACGGGGAAUUAGGGUUCGGUUCCGGAGAGGGAGCCUGAGAAACGGCUACCACUUCCAAGGAAGGCAGCAGGCGCGCAAAUUACCCAGUCCUGACACAGGGAGGUAGUGACAAUAAAUACUAAUCCAGGGCUCUUUGAGCUUUGGAAUUGGAAUGAGAACAAUGUAAAACUCUUAUCGAGAACCAAUUGGAGGGCAAGUCUGGUGCCAGCAGCCGCGGUAAUUCCAGCUCCAAUAGCGUAUAUUAAAGUUGUUGCAGUUAAAAAGCUCGUAGUUGGAUGUCUGGCUCUCGCAGGAGCUGUCUGCCGAAAGGUAGUACGGCUCGGCGGGGCCAUCCUCUCGAGGACGGGGUGUGCCUUUAACUAGGUGUGCCUUUGGACUCGGGACCUUUACUUUGAAAAAAUUAGAGUGUUCAAAGCAGGCCUACGCUUGAAUACAUUAGCAUGGAAUAAUGGAAUAGGACUUCGGUUUCUAUUUUGUUGGUUUCUAGAACUGAGGUAAUGAUUAAUAGGGAUAGUUGGGGGCAUUAGUAUUUAAUUGUCAGAGGUGAAAUUCUUGGAUUUAUUAAAGACUAACAUCUGCGAAAGCAUUUGCCAAGGAUGUUUUCAUUAAUCAAGAACGAAAGUUAGGGGAUCGAAGACGAUCAGAUACCGUCGUAGUCUUAACCAUAAACUAUGCCGACUAGGGAUCGGUGAGUGUUUUUACAACCUCAUCGGCACCUUAUGGGAAACCAAAGUUUUUGGGUUCCGGGGGGAGUAUGGUCGCAAGGCUGAAACUAAAGGAAUGACGGAAGGCCCCCGAGCGUU